Molecule: non-coding RNA, 137 nt
Filed under: Paenibacillus bovis
Lineage: Bacteria; Bacillati; Bacillota; Bacilli; Caryophanales; Paenibacillaceae
Description: SAM-I sequence
Rfam family: SAM riboswitch aptamer (S box leader)
About the family: The SAM riboswitch is found upstream of a number of genes which code for proteins involved in methionine or cysteine biosynthesis in Gram-positive bacteria. The SAM riboswitch acts at the level of transcription termination control.
Source: Rfam by way of RNAcentral
AUCUUAUCAAGAGCAGGUGGAGGGACUAGCCCUAUGAAGCCCGGCAACCGGCGGUCAUAUACCGUACGGUGCUAAUUCUAGCAGAGAUACAGGUACAUCCUACGAUGAAGUAUCUGGUAUCUGCUGACAGAUGAGAG